GCGAGGGUGGCGGAAUGGUAGACGCGCUAGCUUGAGGUGCUAGUCCACGUUAGUGGGUGGGGGUUCAAGUCCCCUCCUUCGCA
Molecule: transfer RNA, 83 nt
Filed under: Paeniglutamicibacter gangotriensis
Lineage: Bacteria; Bacillati; Actinomycetota; Actinomycetes; Micrococcales; Micrococcaceae
Also listed under: 1 other name
Description: tRNA-Leu
Rfam family: tRNA
About the family: Transfer RNA (tRNA) molecules are approximately 80 nucleotides in length. Their secondary structure includes four short double-helical elements and three loops (D, anti-codon, and T loops).
Source: RNAcentral